AACGAACGCUGGCGGCAUGCCUAACACAUGCAAGUCGAACGAGACCUUCGGGGCUAGUGGCGCAAGGGGGCGUAACGCGUGGGAAGCUGCCCUUAGGUUCGGAAUAACUCCCCGCAGGGGGUGCUAAUGACGGUUGAUGUCAUCGGACCAAAGACUUAUCGCCUGUGGAUGGGCCCGCGUUGGAUUAGCUAGGUGGUAGGGUAAAAGCCUACCAAGGCGACGAUCCAUAGCUGGUCUGAGAGGAUGGUCAGUCACACUGGGACUGAGACACGGCCCAGACUCCUACGGGAGGCAGCAGUGGGGAAUAUUGGACAAUGAGCGAGAGCCUGAGCCACCGAGGCCGCGUGAGUGAUGAAGGCCUUAGGAUUGUAAAGCUCUUUUACCCGGGAUGAUAAUGACAGUACCGGGAGAAUAAGCUCCGGCUAACUCCGUG
RNAcentral lists this ribosomal RNA (433 nucleotides) under uncultured bacterium. Its description in RNAcentral is "partial 16S ribosomal RNA". It matches the Rfam family "Bacterial small subunit ribosomal RNA", at positions 29 to 507 of the family's 1533-position model. The record is from RNAcentral.